Molecule: ribosomal RNA, 386 nt
Filed under: uncultured bacterium
Lineage: Bacteria
Description: bacterial SSU rRNA
Rfam family: Bacterial small subunit ribosomal RNA
Source: RNAcentral
AUUGAACGCUGGCGGAAUGCUUUACACAUGCAAGUCGAACGGCAGCACGGGGGCAACCCUGGUGGCGAGUGGCGAACGGGUGAGUAAUACAUCGGAACGUGCCCAAUCGUGGGGGAUAACGUAGCGAAAGCUACGCUAAUACCGCAUACGAUCUACGGAUGAAAGCGGGGGAUCGCAAGACCUCGCGCGAAUGGAGCGGCCGAUGGCAGAUUAGGUAGUUGGUGGGGUAAAGGCUCACCAAGCCGACGAUCUGUAGCUGGUCUGAGAGGACGACCAGCCACACUGGGACUGAGACACGGCCCAGACUCCUACGGGAGGCAGCAGUGGGAAUUUUGGACAAUGGGCGCAAGCCUGAUCCAGCCAUUCCGCGUGCAGGAUGAAGGCCU